GACAGAGGUGCCGAGCGUUAGGCGGAAUCACUGGGCUUAAAGCGUGUGUAGGCGGAUCGUUAAGUGCCUUGUGGAAUCCCACGGCUCAACCGUGGAACUGCUCGGCAUACUGGCGACCUUGAGCCACUUAGGGGCUACCGGAACAAAUGGUGGAGCGGUGAAAUGCGUAGAUAUCAUUUGGAACGCCAAUGGUGAAAACAGGUAGCUGGGGCUGUGCUGACGCUGAGACACGAAAGCCAGGGGAGCAAACGGG
RNAcentral lists this ribosomal RNA (253 nucleotides) under uncultured bacterium. Its description in RNAcentral is "partial 16S ribosomal RNA". It matches the Rfam family "Bacterial small subunit ribosomal RNA", at positions 524 to 776 of the family's 1533-position model. The record is from RNAcentral.